Molecule: long non-coding RNA, 285 nt
Filed under: Capsella rubella
Lineage: Eukaryota; Viridiplantae; Streptophyta; Magnoliopsida; Brassicales; Brassicaceae
Description: long non-coding RNA (CRUB_LNC004589)
Source: RNAcentral
AAGAACCGUCAUUAUAUUUCUAUCAAAUUGCUUGUAUAUAUAUAUUUGUUAAGCAGAAAAAAGAAAGAUGAAGGGUACGGUUAUGCAUGUCGUUUUUAUAGAUAUGUGACACAAAUAUGGAAAAAGUUCAUCUAUUUUGUCUUUUAAUUUAAACGAGAGAUGGUAGGUAUUAUCAUUGCGCUGGUCGUUAACAUAUCAAAUCGUAUGUUAGAAAAAAAAAACAUUAUAAUCGAAUACACACUCGAACCUCUGAAUCUUGGUAGUAUUAGUGAAUGAAUGAUUCCC